Long non-coding RNA from Nerophis ophidion (straightnose pipefish), 754 nucleotides. RefSeq lists it as uncharacterized. The transcript has 3 exons. The record is from RefSeq and is a predicted model, not a curated record. NCBI's taxonomy places the organism in Eukaryota, Metazoa, Chordata, Actinopteri, Syngnathiformes, Syngnathidae.
AAAAAAUAAAUAAAUAAAUCCAGAGGCAGGACGGGUGAGACGAGAGCGCAUUUGAGUGUAAUUUCACACGACAGGCCGCCCUGCGCACGACUUUGUGUGAUGAUAACAGGAGCUGACCCCAAACAGGAAGCCGGUAUGGAGAGUCUUAACACAGGAAACUGGUGAAACAGAGGUGUGUGUGUGUGUGCGUGCGUGUGUUUCUGAUAGUUGCGUGGCGAGUGUCAGUCGCACUCACGCAUCAAACCGCGGGCCCCUCUGGUUGCAGAAUGUGCUCGGAAAUUGCACGGACAUAUGCAAACAUGAAGAAUCCGUCGGAUUCGUGCACUUGUGGGAACCACCUGCCAACGAGUGACACUGGUCAGCGUGGUCGUACGUGUUGAAACCAGCUGUUCAGCUGACAGGGGUGAGAGGAUUUGUAUGGCGUGGCGAAGUUGGUAGAGUGGCUGUGCCAGCAAUCUGAGGGGUACUGGUUCAAUCCCCACCUUCUACCAUCCUAGUCACGUCCGUUGUGUCCUUGGGCAUCAAUACAGCAGAGGAGCCAGGCAUGGUGGGGUCUGGCAGCGUUCCAGGCAUGGAGGCUGGCAGAGGCUGUCUCUGUCUGUUUCGUAGGUGCAACAGUGAGGACAGAGAGCCAGGGACAGGCCUAUGAGGACACACAAAGUAAUUGUCAAGGAAUUCAAUGAAUAAAUACAUUGUAACAUCAUGAAGACUGAGAUUUAGUAGAUGUCUGCAGCAAAAGAAAUCCACAGUGAUU